RNAcentral lists this ribosomal RNA (253 nucleotides) under uncultured bacterium. RNAcentral's name for it is "partial 16S ribosomal RNA". It matches the Rfam family "Bacterial small subunit ribosomal RNA", at positions 524 to 776 of the family's 1533-position model. The record is from RNAcentral.
UACGAAGGCUACAAGCGUUAUCCGGAUUUAUUGGGCGUAAAGAGCGAGUAGGUGGUUUGGUGCGUCUGUUGUUAAAUGUCUCCGCUUAACGGGGUCACCGCAAUGGAAACGGCCGAACUAGAGAGUGCUAGAGGCAAAUAGAACGCACGGUGUAGGGGUGAAAUCCGUUGAUAUCGUGCGGAAUACCAAAGGCGAAGGCAUUUUGCUGGGGCAUUUCUGACACUCAAUCGCGAAAGCGUGGGGAGCAAAAAGG